This 1364-nucleotide ribosomal RNA is filed under the name Salmonella enterica subsp. enterica serovar Typhimurium. Its description in RNAcentral is "bacterial LSU rRNA". It matches the Rfam family "Bacterial large subunit ribosomal RNA", at positions 976 to 2238 of the family's 2925-position model. The record is from RNAcentral. Lineage: Bacteria; Pseudomonadati; Pseudomonadota; Gammaproteobacteria; Enterobacterales; Enterobacteriaceae.
CACGGGAGACACACGGCGGGUGCUAACGUCCGUCGUGAAGAGGGAAACAACCCAGACCGCCAGCUAAGGUCCCAAAGUCAUGGUUAAGUGGGAAACGAUGUGGGAAGGCCCAGACAGCCAGGAUGUUGGCUUAGAAGCAGCCAUCAUUUAAAGAAAGCGUAAUAGCUCACUGGUCGAGUCGGCCUGCGCGGAAGAUGUAACGGGGCUAAACCAUGCACCGAAGCUGCGGCAGCGAACGUAUCACCCAAGACAACUUUACGGAGUUGACGAUUGACGGAGCGAAGCGACGUCAAAGCGUUCAUUAAAGUCGAGUUGGCUUAGGGAUACGUUCGUUGGGUAGGGGAGCGUUCUGUAAGCCUGUGAAGGUGUGUCGUGAGGCAUGCUGGAGGUAUCAGAAGUGCGAAUGCUGACAUAAGUAACGAUAAAGCGGGUGAAAAGCCCGCUCGCCGGAAGACCAAGGGUUCCUGUCCAACGUUAAUCGGGGCAGGGUGAGUCGACCCCUAAGGCGAGGCCGAAAGGCGUAGUCGAUGGGAAACGGGUUAAUAUUCCCGUACUUGGUGUUACUGCGAAGGGGGGACGGAGAAGGCUAUGUUGGCCGGGCGACGGUUGUCCCGGUUUAAGCGUGUAGGUGUGUGUUCCAGGUAAAUCCGGUUCACUUUAACACUGAGGCGUGACGACGAGGCACUACGGUGCUGAAGCAACAAAUGCCCUGCUUCCAGGAAAAGCCUCUAAGCAUCAGGUAACAUCAAAUCGUACCCCAAACCGACACAGGUGGUCAGGUAGAGAAUACCAAGGCGCUUGAGAGAACUCGGGUGAAGGAACUAGGCAAAAUGGUGCCGUAACUUCGGGAGAAGGCACGCUGACACGUAGGUGAAGUGAUUUACUCAUGGAGCUGAAGUCAGUCGAAGAUACCAGCUGGCUGCAACUGUUUAUUAAAAACACAGCACUGUGCAAACACGAAAGUGGACGUAUACGGUGUGACGCCUGCCCGGUGCCGGAAGGUUAAUUGAUGGGGUCAGCGCAAGCGAAGCUCCUGAUCGAAGCCCCGGUAAACGGCGGCCGUAACUAUAACGGUCCUAAGGUAGCGAAAUUCCUUGUCGGGUAAGUUCCGACCUGCACGAAUGGCGUAAUGAUGGCCAGGCUGUCUCCACCCGAGACUCAGUGAAAUUGAACUCGCUGUGAAGAUGCAGUGUACCCGCGGCAAGACGGAAAGACCCCGUGAACCUUUACUAUAGCUUGACACUGAACAUUGAGCCUUGAUGUGUAGGAUAGGUGGGAGGCUUUGAAGUGUGGACGCCAGUCUGCAUGGAGCCGACCUUGAAAUACCACCCUUUAAUGUUUGAUGUUCUAACGUGGACCCGUAA